Molecule: ribosomal RNA, 253 nt
Filed under: uncultured bacterium
Lineage: Bacteria
Description: partial 16S ribosomal RNA
Rfam family: Bacterial small subunit ribosomal RNA
Source: RNAcentral
UACAGAGACUGCAAGCGUUAUUCGGAUUCACUGGGCGUAAAGGGUGCGCAGGCGGUUGGGUGUGUCAGAUGUGAAAUCCCGAGGCUUAACCUCGGAACUGCGUCUGAAACUACUCGACUAGAGUACUGGAGAGGGAAACGGAAUUCCCGGUGUAGCGGUGAAAUGCGCAGAUAUCGGGAAGAACACCCGUGGCGAAGGCGGCUCUCUGGGACGGUACUGACGCUGAGACGCGAAAGCGUGGGGAGCGAACAGG